GACGAACGCUGGCGGCGUGCUUAACACAUGCAAGUCGAGCGGAAAGGCCCUUCGGGGUACUCGAGCGGCGAACGGGUGAGUAACACGUGAGUAACCUGCCCCAGACUUUGGGAUAACCCUCGGAAACGGGGGCUAAUACCGGAUACGACACAGCUUCGCAUGGGGUCUGUGUGGAAAGUUUUUCGGUUUUGGAUGGGCUCGCGGCCUAUCAGCUUGUUGGUGGGGUGAUGGCCUACCAAGGCGACGACGGGUAGCCGGCCUGUGAGGGCGACCGGCCACACUGGUACUGAGACACGCAGCAGAAGCCUACGGGAGGCAGCAGGCGGAAAUCUUGCACAAUGGGCGGGAGCCUGAUGCAGCGACGCCGCGUGAGGGAAGACGGCCUUCGGGGUGUAAACCUCUUUCAGCAGGGACGAAGCGUAAGUGACGGUACCUGCAGAAGAAGCGACGGCCAACUACGUG
RNAcentral lists this ribosomal RNA (462 nucleotides) under uncultured bacterium. RNAcentral describes it as "partial 16S ribosomal RNA". It matches the Rfam family "Bacterial small subunit ribosomal RNA", at positions 28 to 507 of the family's 1533-position model. The record is from RNAcentral.